CAUGCACCGGUGGGGUCCCUCAGCCUGGCCUGUGCCCUCUUGCAAUCCAGGACCCCUCGGGGGAUGUUGGAGAACCAGUUUUGGCCUGAUCCCCGCAGGCCAGGCUGAGGGACCCCACUGGUGCACA
Molecule: non-coding RNA, 127 nt
Organism: Myotis lucifugus (little brown bat)
Lineage: Eukaryota; Metazoa; Chordata; Mammalia; Chiroptera; Vespertilionidae
Source: Rfam